Molecule: small RNA, 125 nt
Filed under: Marmota monax (woodchuck)
Lineage: Eukaryota; Metazoa; Chordata; Mammalia; Rodentia; Sciuridae
Source: RNAcentral
GCUGGGCACAGUAGUGCACGCCUGUAAUCCCAGCGCCUCUGGAGGCUGAGACAGGAGGAUGGCAAGUUCAAAGCCAGCCUCAGCAAUGGUGAGGCACUAAGCAACUCAGUGAGAUCCUGUCUCUA